GAAGGUAAGAACAAAAGAAAGA
This 22-nucleotide small nuclear RNA is filed under the name Arabidopsis thaliana (thale cress). RNAcentral's name for it is "snRNA_07100". The record is from RNAcentral. Lineage: Eukaryota; Viridiplantae; Streptophyta; Magnoliopsida; Brassicales; Brassicaceae.